AGCAAAAUGUUGGAGGUUAAUGUUCUGAAUCUGUGAUUUUGAUAACUGAUGCAGUGGUCAGCAAAGUACCCUUAUUGCU
RNAcentral lists this small nucleolar RNA (79 nucleotides) under Amborella trichopoda. RNAcentral describes it as "Small nucleolar RNA R160". It matches the Rfam family "Small nucleolar RNA R160". Rfam says of the family: snoR160 is a C/D box small nucleolar RNA, which acts as a methylation guide for 25S ribosomal RNA in plants. snoR160 has been alternatively named snoZ270 in rice. Lineage: Eukaryota; Viridiplantae; Streptophyta; Magnoliopsida; Amborellales; Amborellaceae. The record is from Rfam by way of RNAcentral.